Podarcis lilfordi (Lilford's wall lizard) is the source of this 65-nucleotide non-coding RNA. The record is from the annotation of a GenBank genome assembly. Lineage: Eukaryota; Metazoa; Chordata; Lepidosauria; Squamata; Lacertidae.
GUCAUGCUCAGUUGGUAGAGAGUGAGACUUAAUCUCAGUCGUGAGUUCGAGCCCCACGUUAGGCA